UACGAGAGGUCCAAACGUUAUUCGGAAUUACUGGGCGUAAAGGGCUCGUAGGCGGCCAACUAAGUCAGACGUGAAAUCCCUCGGCUUAACCGGGGAACUGCGUCUGAUACUGGAUGGCUUGAGUUUGGGAGAGGGAUGCGGAAUUCCUGGUGUAGCGGUGAAAUGCGCAGAUAUCAGGAAGAACACCCGUGGCGAAGGCGGCUUUCUGGGACGGUACUGACGCUGAGACGCGAAAGCGUGGGGAGCGAACAGG
Molecule: ribosomal RNA, 253 nt
Filed under: uncultured bacterium
Lineage: Bacteria
Description: partial 16S ribosomal RNA
Rfam family: Bacterial small subunit ribosomal RNA
Source: RNAcentral